CUCCUACGGGAGACAGCAGUAGGAAAUUUUCGNCAAUGGGGNAAACCAUNACCGAGCANNNCCGCGUNAGUGAUGUNGGCNUUCGGGUUGUAAAGCUCUGUUGUAAGGGAAGAACCGGUAGAUAGAUAAUAUCUAAGUGGCGGUACCUNACCAGAAAGCCACGGCNNANUACGUGCCAGCAGCCGCGGUAAUACNUAGGUGGCGAGCGUUAUCCGGAAUUAUUGGGCGUAAAGGGUNCGUAGNCGGCCUGUUAAGUAAGUGGUUAAAUUGUUGGGCUCAACCCAAUCCAGCCACUUAAACUGGCAGGCUAGAGUAUUGGAGAAGGCAAGUGGAAUUCCAUGUGUAGCGGNANAAUGCGUAGAUAUAUGGAGGAACACCAGUGGCGAAGGCGGCUUGCUAGCCAAAGACUGACGCUCAUGCANGAAAGNGUGGGAAGCAAAUAGGAUUAGAUACCCUAGUAGUCCACGCCGUAAACAAUGUAUACUAAGUAUUGGGGAAACUCAGUGCUGCAGC
Molecule: ribosomal RNA, 513 nt
Filed under: uncultured bacterium
Lineage: Bacteria
Description: partial 16S ribosomal RNA
Rfam family: Bacterial small subunit ribosomal RNA
Source: RNAcentral